Molecule: ribosomal RNA, 398 nt
Filed under: uncultured bacterium
Lineage: Bacteria
Description: partial 16S ribosomal RNA
Rfam family: Bacterial small subunit ribosomal RNA
Source: RNAcentral
AUACGUAGGUGGCGAGCGUUGUCCGGAAUUACUGGGUGUAAAGGGCGCGCAGGCGGCCUUGCAAGUCGGAUGUGAAAGAUCAAGGCUCAACCUUGACAGGUCAUCCGAAACUGUAAGACUUGAGUGUCAGAGGGGAAAGUGGAAUUCCUAGUGGAGCAGUAAAAUGCGCAGAUAUUAGGAGGAACACCGGUGGCGAAGGCGACUUUCUGGCUGACAACUGACGCUGAGGCGCGAAAGCGUGGGGAGCAAACAGGAUUAGAUACCCUGGUAGUCCACGCCGUAAACGAUGAUUACUAGGUGUAGGGGGUAUCGACUCCCUCUGUGCCACAGUUAACGCAGUAAGUAAUCCACCUGGGGAGUACGGCCGCAAGGUUAAAACUCAAAGGAAUUGACGGGGG